UCAAUCAUUUAUCCUGUAACAAUCAGUUCUGAUCUUCUGUUCCUGGUGUCCACUGUAAUAAUGAUUAUCAGAUCUAUGUUUGGUUUCAGACGUGCAUGUGUGUGUGUGCAGUGCAUUGUGGGUAAAAUAAUCAGGUCGUCUCACCACAGUUCACUUCAUCAGAAGAAUCAGGACACUGAACCACACCAUCACAAACACUGGAACUGGACACACAGCGUCCUGACCGGCACUGUGAGGCGUGGAGGGUCUGCGCUCCUGACCUGGUCGGCCAAGGUUGAAGCCGGUAGUGAAAUUAGCCAGAAAUCCUCGAUCGUUUCCAGAAGAAUCAGAGAAAAACAUCACGGUCAUCUGAGACGAGGUGGAGAAAAGGAACCAGAGUGAUGAAACCCUCACCUAAUAAUGUAGAAUGAGGUUCCACACCGUCUCGGACCUCCAGCACGUCGUACAAAGCUUCUAAAGCCACGUCCUGGAAAUGCAGCUGGAUGUUCUGACCUUCAUCAGCGUGUGUGGUCGUGACUCGGUCCAGAAAGUGAAGGAAGCGAAGAUCCACUCAUCCUGAUCCAAAAUCCAUCAGCAUCAGCAUCACGUCUCCAGAAACAGAAACCGUCCUCAAACGAGCAGUUUAUCUUCUCAUCAUCUAAAACAUCCAGAACCAAGAACUCAGAACCCAGAACCAGGAACUCAGAACCAAGAACUCAAAACUUAAAACUCAGAACCCAAAACCCAGUAUUCAGAACCAAGAACUCAGAGCAGAACAGAGGGAGAACAUGCCAGGCUUUAUAUUUCUGGACUGGUUUAGGUGUGGGACGUACUGGUGAGGUGGGCGAGGCUCUCCGCUCUGUACGUGGCAUUAAACUCCCGCCGGUGAGAAACUGAAUCGGACCAAAACUCCACCGUGGCAUUCUGGGAAAAAAUCCAGACGACUCCAGGAGGAGAAGAACCGGUCAGAGAGUCUGAGAGAGAGAAGAAGAAACU
Molecule: long non-coding RNA, 975 nt
Organism: Trichomycterus rosablanca
Lineage: Eukaryota; Metazoa; Chordata; Actinopteri; Siluriformes; Trichomycteridae
Exons: 4
Source: RefSeq, a predicted model, not a curated record